UGAUUCCUACGGGACGCAGCAGUGGGGGAUAUUGCACAAUGGGGGAAACCCUGAUGCAGCGACGCCGCGUGAGUGAAGAAGUAUUUCGGUAUGUAAAGCUCUAUCAGCAGGGAAGAAAAUGACAGUACCUGACCAAGAAGCCCCGGCUAACUACGUGCCAGCAGCCGCGGUAAUACGUAGGGGGCAAGCGUUAUCCGGAUUUACUGGGUGUAAAGGGAGCGUAGACGGUUAUGUAAGUCUGGAGUGAAAGCCCGGGGCCCAACCCCGGGACUGCUUUGGAAACUUUGUAACUGGAGUACCGGGGG
RNAcentral lists this ribosomal RNA (305 nucleotides) under uncultured bacterium. Its description in RNAcentral is "bacterial SSU rRNA". It matches the Rfam family "Bacterial small subunit ribosomal RNA", at positions 333 to 655 of the family's 1533-position model. The record is from RNAcentral.